CUCUCCCUCCCUACCCCACUAUGAGUCGCCCUCCCUUAUAUCAGAGAAAACAUUCGGAAUUUGUUUUUUGGGGAUUGGCUGACUCCACUUAGCAUUAUCUUCUUCAACGCCAUUCAUUUACCUGCAAAUGCCAUGAUUUUGUUCUUUUCUUAAUGCUGAGUAAUAUUCCAUUAUGUAUAAAACAGCCACCAUUUUAAGAGAAUUUUUGCUUUCCCACCCUCCCAGGGUUCACCACUCCCUCAUACCAACCCAACCCUUCACCACCACAUUAGGACCAGCCUGGCUCUAAUCCCUGAGCCUGCCCCAUAAAAGCCCUGAACCCCGAGUCUGUGUGCCUCUCUGCACUCUAGAGAGAUGGCCUUUAUUUGUCAGAGCUGUGUAUCUCUGCCUGGCCUCCAUCUUUCAUUUCUCGCUCUCCCGUCUCCCAGUCACUGGCUUUCCUUUCACAUUAUUAAAUGACAAAACAUGGGCUAUUCUAAAUGAGAAGCACAGCAAACAAAGCCAGGUUAAAUGGGCUGAUGGAAAGCGGGGUACAAGUGAAGCCAGAGUUAGACAGUCAGUAUAGACUUGUAAAUCCAGUCAGGUCCAUCAAGGAGGCGAAUUUGAGUGAGUCUGGGAAAUUGGAGAGGGGUUGAAGGGCUAAUUCCUUAACAAGAUAACCUGCCCCUGCGCCAUCCUGCUGCUAAGGUAACCUGCCCAGGGACUGUCCCUCCUAAAGGGAGCUGUUAAGUACACCCCGUUCCUGCUCAGAUCAUACCACCUUGGCCCCUCCAGCCUAGAAGAAAACAAAGGAACCCCAAGACCUAUAAAAAAGGCAGGACCGCUCACUUCUUGGGAGACCAGGAUACCAGCUAUGACCCCCUUCUCCCUCCUGGGAGAAGUCAUUACCCCCCCCUCCCGGUUUUUUAAAAAUAUUUUUUUAAGUUGUAGAUGGACACAAUACCUUGAUUUUAUUUCUCAUUUUAUGUGGUGCUGAGGAUGGAACCCAGCACCUCACCCAUGCAAGGCAAGCGCUGCACCACUGAGCCCCAGCCCCAGGUUACCCCUUUUUAAUAAACCCCCCCUGCUUUACAUGCUUCCUCGGUGUGCUUCUCUAGGGCUGUACUUCAACAUGUGAGGCGGUAUCACAAGUGGGCCAAGUGGAGCAGGAACUAGUGACAGUAAAGACGGGUCCAGUUUCCACCAAGGCCCCAUGUCACGGUGUCUCUCAUGUCAAGUUCACCUUGUCCAGCGUCUUGAAUCUCCUGCCCUGAGCUACUACCCACUUCAGCUCCAGCCCCUGUGUGAUGUCACCCGGUGUACCUCGUGGUAUAUAUGACAUCACACUGCCCUGUCCUUGACUCAGGUCUGGAUCCCAACUAUCUGGGUAGGUCUAAUUUAUGCAACAGUGUUUGUUUAGCUGCUACCCUAAGUUGGGUAAUGAACUAAGCAUUAUGGAUAGCAUAGAUGGUAUUUGUUAAGCACCUACUAUGAGUUGGGUACUGGAGUAAGCACUGUGGAUAGUGUCAGGUGGUGUCUGUUAGGUACCUACUAUGAGUUGGGUACUGGAGUAAGCACUGAGGAUAGUGUCAGGUGGUGUUUAUUAAGCACCUACUAUGAGUUGGACACUGGACUAAGCACUGUGGACACAGAGUUGGGUGAGACACUGCCCUGGCUGUUUAAAGAAUAUGGAAUAGCACAGGGAUUGGCAAAUCAUAGCCUGUAGGAAAACUCUGGACCACACACCUGCUUACCUUUUUAAAUGGUUAAAAAAAACACAAAAAGAAAAAGGAUAUUUUGAGACAUACAAAAUUCAAAUCCCCAAGGUCCAUCAAUAAAACUUCCUUGGAACUUGGGCACUUUUCACUAUUCUGAUCUCUGUUUGCUUUUGCACUCUAAUGGCAGAGCUGAGAUCUUGAGGCCUGCAAAGCUCAAAAUACACGUCACCUGGCCUUUUGCAUAAAAAGCAUGUCAGCUCCUGGUCUCAGAGAACCUGCACUCAAAACCAGUGGCUUGUUCUCUGGGGAGACGCAGGCUGCCAUGGGAACAGGUCAGAAGGGACAUGGCCCGAUCUGCAGUUGAGAUAGCGCCCACCCAGCCCUGAGGACAGAGAAGUUCGGGCCUCCAGAGGCCCUGGGGGUCAGGUCCUCUUGCAUGUGGGAAAUGUGGCCUGAGCCCAGGCAGGUCCCUUGAAGGCACUGGAGAGGCAUGAGGGAUUAACACAGGAAUGACACAAUGGUGCUUUUCCAGAAAGACCAGGAUUGGUGAAAAGAUGGAGGCAGGAAGGGGCAGGACGGUGGAUGGCUCUGUUGGAGCACUGUUGGCAACAAUCCAGGUGAGAGCACGUGAUGGCCUAAGCAAAGACAGUGACGUAGAGGACUACAGGUGGACCAAUGGAACAAGAGGCAGGGGACAAGACGGAGAAUACCGUCAACUGCUUUGAUGAUGGCUUUAGGCCUGAGCCUAAGCAACUCUAUUUUAAAAACUCUAGUUUGAAACCUGCAGUCUCAGCACGCACACCCACAGAGCCCUCCAGUGUGGCCUCAGACAUAAACAAGUCACUUCCCCACCCUCAAAGUGAAGCUCUGACAAGAGGGAAAGGAGAAGAUCAGGGUGGAGACCACUAGACCAGAUGUUUCUGACCCCAGGGUAAAUGAUGUCACUGAGAAAUCCAGUGGUAGCUGAUGAGGAUUGAAAGGGGGGUCAAAAGCCCCAAAGUGUAAUAUGAAUAAUGGAGCCGGGUGAGGAGGUGGGGAAAAUGGCACACUCAUACACUGCUGGUGGGACUGCAAAUUCGUGCAGCCAAUAUGGAGAGCAGUAUGGAGAUUCCUUGGAAAACUGGGAAUGGAACCACCCUUUGACCCAGCUAUCCCUCUCCUUAAUCUAUACCCAAAGGACUUAAAAACAGCAUACUACAGGGACACAGCCACAUCAAUGUUUAUAGCAGCACAAUUCUCAAUAGCUAAACUGUGGAAGCAACCUAGAUGCCCUUCAGUAGAUGAAUGGAUGAAGAAAAUGUGUUAUAUAUACACAGUGGAAUGUUAUUCAGCAAUAAAAGAGUGAAAUCAUGGCAUUUGCAGGUAAAUUGAUGGACUUGUAGAAUAUAAUUCUAAGUGAAGUUAGCCAAUCCCAAAAAUCCAAAUGCUGAUUUUUUUCUCUGAUACGAGGAGGCUGAUUCAUAGUGGGGUAGGGAGAGGGAGCAUGGGAGGAAUAG
RNAcentral lists this long non-coding RNA (3193 nucleotides) under Marmota monax (woodchuck). The record is from RNAcentral. Lineage: Eukaryota; Metazoa; Chordata; Mammalia; Rodentia; Sciuridae.